UGAACUGGGUGACUAGAGUGUGUCAGAGGGAGGUAGAAUUCCACGUGUAGCAGUGAAAUGCGUAGAGAUGUGGAGGAAUACCGAUGGCGAAGGCAGCCUCCUGGGAUAACACUGACGUUCAUGCCCGAAAGCGUGGGUAGCAAACAGGAUUAGAUACCCUGGUAGUCCACGCCCUAAACGAUGUCGAUUAGCUGUUGGGCAGCAUGACUGCUUAGUAGCGAAGCUAACGCGUGAAAUCGACCGCCUGGGGAGUACGGUCGCAAGAUUAAAACUCAAAGGAAUUGACGGGGACCCGCACAAGCGGUGGAUGAUGUGGAUUAAUUCGAUGCAACGCGAAGAACCUUACCUGGUCUUGACAUGUACGGAACCCUCCAGAGACGGAGGAGUGCCUUCGGGAGCCGUAACACAGGUGCUGCAUGGCUGUCGUCAGCUCGUGUCGUGAGAUGUUGGGUNNNNNNNNNNNNACGAGCGCAACCCUUGUCAUUAGUUGCCAUCAUUAAGUUGGGCACUCUAAUGAGACUGCCGGUGACAAGCCGGAGGAAGGUGGGGAUGACGUCAAGUCCUCAUGGCCCUUAUGACCAGGGCUUCACACGUCAUACAAUGGUCGGUACAGAGGGUAGCCAAGCCGCGAGGCGGAGCCAAUCUCACAAAACUGAUCGUAGUCCGGAUUGCACUCUGCAACUCGAGUGCAUGAAGUCGGAAUCGCUAGUAAUCGCAGGUCAGCAUACUGCGGUGAAUACGUUCCCGGGUCU
RNAcentral lists this ribosomal RNA (752 nucleotides) under uncultured bacterium. RNAcentral describes it as "bacterial SSU rRNA". It matches the Rfam family "Bacterial small subunit ribosomal RNA", at positions 629 to 1381 of the family's 1533-position model. The record is from RNAcentral.